CUACGGGAGGCAGCAGUAAGGAAUUUUAGACAAUGGGCGAAAGCCUGAUCUAGCAACGCCGCGUGGACGAUGAAGGCCUUCGGGUCGUAAAGUCCUUUUCUGUGGGAAGAUCGUGACGGUACCACAGGAAUAAGCAUCGGCUAACUACGUGCCAGCAGCCGCGGUAAUACGUAGGAUGCAAGCGUUGUCCGGAUUUAUUGGGCGUAAAGAGUGCGUAGGCGGCUUCUUAAGUGGGGCGUGAAAUCCCCCGGCUAAACCGGGGAGGGUCGUCCUAAACGGGGGGGCUUGAGGGUGGAAGAAGAGAGCGGAAUUCCCGGUGUAGGGGUGAAAGGCGUAGAUAUCGGGAGGAACACCCGUGGCGAAGGCGGCCUUCUGGGCCUACCCUGACGCUGAGGCGCGAAAGCGGGGGGAGCGAACCGGAUUAGAUCCCCGGGUAGU
RNAcentral lists this ribosomal RNA (438 nucleotides) under uncultured bacterium. Its description in RNAcentral is "partial 16S ribosomal RNA". It matches the Rfam family "Bacterial small subunit ribosomal RNA", at positions 339 to 794 of the family's 1533-position model. The record is from RNAcentral.